Molecule: ribosomal RNA, 495 nt
Filed under: uncultured bacterium
Lineage: Bacteria
Description: partial 16S ribosomal RNA
Rfam family: Bacterial small subunit ribosomal RNA
Source: RNAcentral
GACGAACGCUGGCGGCGUGCCUAAUACAUGCAAGUAGAACGCUGAAGGAGGAGCUUGCUUCUCUGGAUGAGUUGCGAACGGGUGAGUAACGCGUAGGUAACCUGCCUGGUAGCGGGGGAUAACUAUUGGAAACGAUAGCUAAUACCGCAUAAUAGUAGAUGUUGCAUGACAUUUGCUUAAAAGGUGCAAUUGCAUCACUACCAGAUGGACCUGCGUUGUAUUAGCUAGUUGGUGAGGUAACGGCUCACCAAGGCGACGAUACAUAGCCGACCUGAGAGGGGGAUCGGCCACACUGGGCCUGAGACACGGCCCAGACUCCUACGGGAGGCAGCAGUAGGGAAUCUUCGGCAAUGGACGGAAGUCUGACCGAGCAACGCCGCGUGAGUGAAGAAGGUUUUCGGAUCGUAAAGCUCUGUUGUAAGAGAAGAACGAGUGUGAGAGUGGAAAGUUCACACUGUGACGGUAUCUUACCAGAAAGAGACGGCUAACUACGUG